UCAAGCUUUUAAGGGCGCAGGGUGAAUGCCUUGGCACCAGGAGCCGAUGAAGGACGCGACAAGCUGCGAUAAGCUACGGGGAGGUGCAAAUAACUUUCGAUCCGUAGAUUUCCGAAUGGGGAAACCCACUUGGGGUAAAUGCCCAAGUAUCAAUGAGUGAAUAAAUAGCUUAUUGAGGGGAUACGCCGGGAACUGAAACAUCUAAGUACCGGCAGGAAAAGAAAACAACAGUGAUUCCGCAAGUAGUGGCGAGCGAACGCGGAGAAGCCUAAACCAGUUACUCUUGAGUAACUGGGGUAGUGGACCGGCAUAAUUGACUUUGAGACUUAGCAAAAGCACGGCUGGAAAGCCGUCGCCGAAGAGGGUAAUAGCCCCGUACGCGAAAAGUCAAAGAGCAAGCCGGUAUCCGGAGUACCACGGGACACGUGUAACCCUGUGGGAAGCUGGGGGGCCCACCCCCCAAGGCUAAAUACUACCUGGUGACCGAUAGUGAAGAAGUACCGUGAGGGAAAGGUGAAAAGAACCCCGGAAGGGGAGUGAAAGAGAACCUGAAACCCUGUGUCUACAAGCAGUUGAAGGGCGUUAAUGCCCGACAGCGUACUUUUUGUAGAACGGUCCGGCGAGUUACGUUAUGUUGCAAGGUUAAGUACCUAAGGUACGGAGCCGUAGAGAAGUCGAGUCUGAAUAGGGCGUUAAGUAACAUGAAGUAGACCCGAAACCGAGUGACCUAUCCAUGGGCAGGUUGAAGCUAGAGUAAAAUCUGGUGGAGGACCGAACCCACCAAUGUUGAAAAAUUGGGGGAUGACCUGUGGAUAGCGGAGAAAUUCUAAUCGAACUCGGAGAUAGCUGGUUCUCCCCGAAAUAGCUUUAGGGCUAGCCUCGGGUUAGUCUUGCGGAGGUAAAGCACUGAAUGGGCUAGGGACCUUACCCGGUUACCGAACCCUCUCAAACUAAGAAUGCCGCAAAGAUGAUGCUCGGGAGUCAGACUAUGUGAGAUAAGUCGCAUGGUCAAAAGGGAAACAGCCCAGACCAUCAGCUAAGGUCCCCAAAUUACAGUUAAGUGGAAAAGGAUGUGGAUUUGCUAAGACAACUAGGAUGUUGGCUUAGAAGCAGCCACUCAUUCAAAGAGUGCGUAACAGCUCACUAGUCGAGUGAGUCCGCGCCGAAAAAUUACCGGGUCUUAAACUGUAUACCGAAGCUAUGGAUUUAUGUAUUAAUUUACAUGAGUGGUAGGGGAGCGUACUGUCGUAGGUUGAAGCAUUACCGUGAGGAGAUGUGGACGAAACAGUAGUGAGAAUGCCGGAAUAAGUAGCGAAAGCAUAGUGAGAAUCUAUGCCGUCGAAAGCCUAAGGGUUCCUGGGGAAGGUUCGUCCGCCCAGGGUAAGUCGGGACCUAAGCCGAGGCCGCAAGGCGUAGGUGAUGGACAACAGGUUGAUAUUCCUGUACCACCGAUAUCUGUCUGAGAGAUGUGGGGACGCAGUAGGAUAAACUGAGCCAGCAGCUGGAAUUGCUGGUCCAAGGGAAGUAGGAGUUGUGUAGGUAAAUCCGCACAGCAAUCCAAAAGCCUGAUGGGGAGGGAAAUUUAAAGUACCGAAGCAGUUGAUUCCACACUGACGAGAAAAGCCACUAUCGAGGAUAAAGGUGCCCGUACCGUAAACCGACACAGGUAGGCGAGGAGAGAAUCCUAAGAUGAUCGGAAGAAGUGUUGUUAAGGAACUCGGCAAAUUAACCCCGUAAGUUAGCGAGAAGGGGUGCCACAGCAAUGUGGCCGCAGUGACCAGGCCCAAGCAACUGUUUACCAAAAACACAGGUCUCUGCUAAAUCGAAAGAUGAUGUAUAGGGGCUGACGCCUGCCCAGUGCUGGAAGGUUACGGGAAUCUGUUAGCGCAAGCGAAGCAGUGAACUUAAGCCCCAGUAAACGGCGGCCGUAACUAUAACGGUCCUAAGGUAGCGAAAUUCCUUGUC
Molecule: ribosomal RNA, 1965 nt
Filed under: marine sediment metagenome
Description: bacterial LSU rRNA
Rfam family: Bacterial large subunit ribosomal RNA
Source: RNAcentral